AAUUAUAGGUGAAAAUCCUUUAUAUCUUU
RNAcentral lists this transfer RNA (29 nucleotides) under Ursus spelaeus (cave bear). Its description in RNAcentral is "partial tRNA-Asp". The record is from RNAcentral. Lineage: Eukaryota; Metazoa; Chordata; Mammalia; Carnivora; Ursidae.